CCUCUCUUUUUGGCGGUGACCGGGCGUGCGGUCCCGCUCCCCGUUAUGUGCGGAGGCAGAGGGAAAGGGCUCUGGCCCCCUCGGCGUAGGGCAGAACCGAAGACCA
Molecule: small nucleolar RNA, 106 nt
Organism: Cynocephalus volans (Philippine flying lemur)
Lineage: Eukaryota; Metazoa; Chordata; Mammalia; Dermoptera; Cynocephalidae
Product: small nucleolar RNA SNORA57
Exons: 1
Source: RefSeq, a predicted model, not a curated record